This 447-nucleotide ribosomal RNA is filed under the name uncultured bacterium. RNAcentral's name for it is "bacterial SSU rRNA". It matches the Rfam family "Bacterial small subunit ribosomal RNA", at positions 355 to 825 of the family's 1533-position model. The record is from RNAcentral.
UCGGGAAUUUUGGGCAAUGGGCGAAAGCCUGACCCAGCAACGCCGCGUGAAGGAUGAAGUAUUUCGGUAUGUAAACUUCGAAAGAAUAGGAAGAAUAAAUGACGGUACUAUUUAUAAGGUCCGGCUAACUACGUGCCAGCAGCCGCGGUAAUACGUAGGGACCAAGCGUUGUUCGGAUUUACUGGGCGUAAAGGGCGCGUAGGCGGCAUGACAAGUCACUUGUGAAAUCUCUGGGCUUAACCCAGAACGGCCAAGUGAUACUGUCGCGCUAGAGUGCAGAAGGGGCAAUCGGAAUUCUUGGUGUAGCGGUGAAAUGCGUAGAUAUCAAGAGGAACACCUGAGGUGAAGACGGGUUGCUGGGCAGUUCCUGACGCUGAGGCACGAAGGCUAGGGGAGCAAACGGGAUUAGAUACCCCGGUAGUCCCUGAGCGGGCUGGCAAGGCGCAU